GACGAACGCUGGCGGCGUGCUUAACACAUGCAAGUCGAACGGAAAGGCCCUGCUUUUGUGGGGUGCUCGAGUGGCGAACGGGUGAGUAACACGUGAGUAACCUGCCCUUGACUUUGGGAUAACUUCAGGAAACUGGGGCUAAUACCGGAUAGGAGCUCCUGCUGCAUGGUGGGGGUUGGAAAGUUUCGGAGGUUGGGGAUGGACUCGCGGCUUAUCAGCUUGUUGGUGGGGUAGUGGCUUACCAAGGCUUUGACGGGUAGCCGGCCUGAGAGGGUGACCGGCCACAUUGGGACUGAGAUACGGCCCAGACUCCUACGGGAGGCAGCAGUGGGGAAUAUUGCACAAUGGGCGGAAGCCUUAUGCAGCAACGCCGCGUGCGGGAUGACGGCCUUCGGGUUGUAAACCGCUUUCGCCUGUGACGAAGCGUGAGUGACGGUAAUGGGUAAAGAAGCACCGGCUAACUACGUG
RNAcentral lists this ribosomal RNA (468 nucleotides) under uncultured bacterium. Its description in RNAcentral is "partial 16S ribosomal RNA". It matches the Rfam family "Bacterial small subunit ribosomal RNA", at positions 28 to 507 of the family's 1533-position model. The record is from RNAcentral.